GACUGGUCUGUGUGCCUGACGUACAAUUUCUGCCUUGUUUAUUAAGUCAAUUAAAAAACCCUACCCCUUCUCUCUCUGUCUCUCAAAGCCAACCUCAACCUGCUCUUUAUCCCCAAAGGUUACCCUCCACCACCAGCGCCACCUCCACCGCCGGCCCGCACAGAGAAAAGUGAAGAAACAAUGAAGCUAAAGAACAAAGGUAAAGUAUACCCAUCUCCAUCGUCAUCAUCGUCUUCUUCUGUUGCUGCCAGUAAAGAUAGGGAUAGAGAUGUUCUCUCGGUACUCAAGCUUCUUCCAGCUGCCAUUCUCGCUUUAGCUUCUGUUCUCGCCCUUGAAGACCGAGAAGUUCUUGCUUAUAUGAUUACCAGGUCUCUGAAAACCACUACCAACCCAAACUCAAACAACCCUUCUUCUCUUGAUCAAGAUUCCAAGAGAAAAUCCUCCAAAAAGCCACCAAAUGCCUCCACCAACAACCUUAAUACUAAUAACCAUAAGCCUCCUGUCUUUGAUUGUGAUUGUUUUGACUGUUAUACUAGCUACUGGUUCAGGUGGGACUCUUCUCCUAAUCGUGAGCUCAUCCAUCAAGUCAUUGAAGCCUUUGAAGAGCACUUGACCAACGGUGAACAAUCCAGGAAAAGCUCUAAAGGUAAAAGACGAGAUAGAGUGGGUCGGCGGGUUGGUGAGAAGCCGGUUCUUGAUGUUAUCGAUCGACCCGAAAUGCUGGAGCUAGAGAGUACUCCUCCACAGAAAGCCAAUGAAUCCUCUAUUAUUUCUCCCGAUGAUGACGUCUCACAGAUUGCUACGCCUGAGAGAGCGGCUGAUGGAGAAGGGAAGGAGCAAAAGGAAGCUGAGAGAAAUGAAGAGCAGAGUGAGUCAGUGCCCACGGCGGAGACGGAAGAGAUGGCGGUGGUAAGUUCACCGCAGCAGGCAGUAAGCAACCACAAGGGUUUGGCAAGGAAGGUAUUGCCGGACGUGUUAGGAUUAUUAAAUUCUCGUUUAUGGAGUCUUUGGGGUCCGAGUGUGUAGAAUGCCAAAAAAAAAAAAGAUUGUCUUCGCUUUCUUCCAUUUUUGGA
RNAcentral lists this unclassified non-coding RNA (1073 nucleotides) under Hevea brasiliensis (rubber tree). Lineage: Eukaryota; Viridiplantae; Streptophyta; Magnoliopsida; Malpighiales; Euphorbiaceae. The record is from RNAcentral.